AUUGAACGCUGGCGGCAUGCCUUACACAUGCAAGUCGAACGGUAACGGGCCUUCGGGUGCCGACGAGUGGCGAACGGGUGAGUAAUACAUCGGAACGUGCCCGAUCGUGGGGGAUAACGAGGUGAAAGCUUUGCUAAUACCGCAUACGAUCUACGGAUGAAAGCAGGGGACCGCAAGGCCUUGCGCGGACGGAGCGGCCGAUGGCAGAUUAGGUAGUUGGUGGGAUAAAAGCUUACCAAGCCGACGAUCUGUAGCUGGUCUGAGAGGAUGAUCAGCCACACUGGGACUGAGACACGGCCCAGACUCCUACGGGAGGCAGCAGUGGGGAAUUUUGGACAAAGGGCGCAAGCCUGAUCCAGCCAUGCCGCGUGCAGGAUGAAGGCCUUCGGGUUGUAAACUGCUUUUGUACGGAACGAAAAGCCUUCUUUUAAUACAGGAGGGUCAUGACGGUACCGUAAGAAUAAGCACCGGCUAACUACGUG
Molecule: ribosomal RNA, 482 nt
Filed under: uncultured bacterium
Lineage: Bacteria
Description: partial 16S ribosomal RNA
Rfam family: Bacterial small subunit ribosomal RNA
Source: RNAcentral